AACUUUCAACAACGGAUCUCUUGGUUCUCGCAUCGAUGAAGAACGCAGCGAAAUGCGAUACGUAAUGUGAAUUGCAGAAUUCAGUGAAUCAUCGAAUCUUUGAACGCACAUUGCACUCCUUGGUAUUCCGAGGAGUAUGCCUGUUUCAGUA
RNAcentral lists this ribosomal RNA (151 nucleotides) under Umbelopsis nana. Its description in RNAcentral is "5.8S ribosomal RNA". It matches the Rfam family "5.8S ribosomal RNA". From Rfam's summary of the family: 5.8S ribosomal RNA (5.8S rRNA) is a component of the large subunit of the eukaryotic ribosome. RNAcentral also lists the same sequence under 3 other names. Lineage: Eukaryota; Fungi; Mucoromycota; Umbelopsidomycetes; Umbelopsidales; Umbelopsidaceae. The record is from RNAcentral.